Molecule: long non-coding RNA, 686 nt
Organism: Neopelma chrysocephalum (saffron-crested tyrant-manakin)
Lineage: Eukaryota; Metazoa; Chordata; Aves; Passeriformes; Pipridae
Exons: 3
Source: RefSeq, a predicted model, not a curated record
UGGCGGCGAACGGGACCUCCAGGGCGCCGGCGAGGAGCGGCGCGGACCCGUUGCCCAGCAGAUGAAGAAACUGAAAAGUUGAAGAGGCUUCCUAAGGCCACAGGGUAAGGUUGAAUUUCACACAAACUUUUUCUACAAGAUUUUGGAUGCUCACUAACGGUGUCCAGAUGACUCCGUGACGUGGACCCUCUUUGAAGUGACUCUGUCUCUCAUUGUGUCCACUUUGGUCCCACCUUGGGGUCAGUUUCAUUUGUCCUCACACCUUUGGGAUGGUUGGAUCCAACUUUGGGACUGAUUUAUCCUCCCCUUGGGAUGGUUUCACCCUUUCUGAAAUAUACUUCCCUUGGUACCCCUUCUAUAUAUAUCCAUAAAAGUAACCUAUCAUAAGAAUAUCUGCUUUAAUAUUGUUGAUAAGUUUCUUCGCUAAUAAGUUGAUUAUAACCUGUAAUGUACCGACUUGGUUGCUGUUAUUAUAUUGGUUGUUGCUAUAGGAUUGCUUGUUGCUGUAAUUGAUCACUGUCGUGUUAUUGAUUGACAUUAAUUAAUCAUUGAUUGCUGACAGUAAUUUGUAAUAGCUUGAUAUAUUUAUAUAUAUUUACUUUAUUGAUCUAAGGUAUACUUUCUAGUGGUGAUUUCUGUGGAUUUGUGAUAAUCUGCAAUAAAGUAGAGAAAUUUAGAGGAUAAAA